Prionailurus viverrinus (fishing cat) is the source of this 802-nucleotide non-coding RNA. The record is from the annotation of a RefSeq genome assembly. NCBI's taxonomy places the organism in Eukaryota, Metazoa, Chordata, Mammalia, Carnivora, Felidae.
CACUUCCAGAUCCAGUUGGUGACGCUCACGCCCCAGUGUUUAGUUUAGUCUAUCUUAUGGUGAAAAUGUCCUGGUCAGCAGGGCAAAGCGUCCUGAAGAGGCCACUGGUCACUGUGCUGGGACUUUUGUGCACCCAGGUUUGCUGUGUGACAGGAUUGAUGGUGAAGCAGAGUCCCCCAGACCUGAGUCUCCAGGAGGGACUCAGCUGCACGCUGCAGUGCAAUUUUUCCACCUCUGUGACCAGGGUGCAGUGGUUUCGCCAAAAUCCUGGGGGCCACCUCAUCCACCUGUUUUACAUUCCUUCCGGGACAAAGCAGAAUGGAAGAUUACGCUCUACGACCGUGGUUGAGGAUCGCCGCAGCUUGCUCUACAUUUCCUCCCCCCGCACCACAGACUCAGCCAUUUAUUUCUGCGCCGGGGCGGAGUCACAGUGCUCCCCAGGCACCUGCAGCCUGUGCACAAACCCUCAGCAGGACUUGGCUCCUCCUCCAGCCGCAGUCAGAUCCAGAAGCCCACCACACGGCGUUGGCACGGCUUAAUAUUCCUGACUAUAUCGCUGGAGUUCAAAUCACAGGCACUUUUAGGUCCUACGGAUUUGAGACUUUUUGGUCUUUAUCUUCCCUUCUCAACCUGGGAUCUCUUUUUCUGGACUUAAACCUCUGACUUGGAACAUGAGUAGCUAAUGAGAAGACCGACUUAAAAUGAAUAGUUAAGCCCAAUAUGCGGGAUUCCAAGAGGGAAAAAAGUGAAAGGAAUACAAAGAAAAAAAAUCACUCCAAUAAAGAUGUUAUUAGAGAAGGAU